UACGUAGGGACCGAGCGUUGUCCGGAUUCAUUGGGCGUAAAGAGCUCGUAGGCGGCUGUUCAAGUCGAACGUGAAAACUCGGAGCUCAACUCCGAGCCUGCGUUCGAUACUGGACGGCUAGAGUCUGGUAGGGGGAUCUGGAAUUCCUGGUGUAGCGGUGGAAAUGCGCAGAUAUCAGGAGGAACACCGGUGGCGAAGGCGGGACUCUGGGCCGAUACUGACGCUGAGGAGCGAAAGCGUGGGGAGCAAACAGG
RNAcentral lists this ribosomal RNA (254 nucleotides) under uncultured bacterium. Its description in RNAcentral is "partial 16S ribosomal RNA". It matches the Rfam family "Bacterial small subunit ribosomal RNA", at positions 524 to 776 of the family's 1533-position model. The record is from RNAcentral.